AGAGUUUGAUCAUGGCUCAGGAUGAACGCUGGCGGCGUGCCUAAGGUAUGCAAGUCGAGCGGUAAGGCUCCUUCGGGAGUACACGAGCGGCGGACGGCUGAGUAACGCGUAGGAACGUACCCCAAACUGAGGGAUAAGCCCGGGAAACCGGGUCUAAUACCGCAUGUGCUUAUUUAUAAGUAAAGCUACGGCGGUUUGGGAGCGGCCUGCGUCCGAUUAGGUUGUUGGUGAGGUAAUGGCUCACCAAGCCGACGAUCGGUAGCUGGUCUGAGAGGAUGAUCAGCCAGAUUGGAACUGAGACACGGUCCAAACCCCUACGGGGGGCAGCAACUGGGAAUCUUUCACAAUGGGCGAAAGCCUGAUGGAGCAACGCCGCGUGCAGGAGGAAGGCCUUCGGGUCGUAAACUGCUUUUAUCUGUGAAGAUAAUGACUGUAACAGAUGAAUAAGGGUCUGCUAACUACGUGCCAGCAGCCGCGGUCAUACGUAGGACCCAAGCGUUAUCCGGAAUCACUGGGCGUAAAGAGUUGCGUAGGUGGCAUAGCAAGCAAAUAGUAAAAGCGUAUGGCUCAACCAUACACCUAUUAUUUGAACUGCUAAGCUUGAGUAUGAGAGAGGUAGAUGGAAUUUCUAGUGUAGGAGUGAAAUCCGUAGAUAUUAGAAGGAACACCGAUGGCGUAGGCAGUCUACUGGCUCAUUACUGACACUAAGGCACGAAAGCGUGGGGAGCGAACGGGAUUAGAUACCCUAGUAGUCC
RNAcentral lists this ribosomal RNA (755 nucleotides) under uncultured bacterium. RNAcentral's name for it is "bacterial SSU rRNA". It matches the Rfam family "Bacterial small subunit ribosomal RNA", at positions 8 to 796 of the family's 1533-position model. The record is from RNAcentral.